GACGAACCGUGCGAACGUUAUUCGGAAUCACUGGGCUUAAAGCGCGUGUAGGCGCCCGGUACGUCCGUCGCUGAAAUCCCCCGGCUCAACCGGGGAAGUGGCGUGGAUACGACCGGGCUGGAGGGGGGUAGGGGGAGCCGGAACUUCCGGUGGAGCGGUGAAAUGCGUUGAGAUCGGAAGGAACGCCCGUGGCGAAAGCGGGCUCCUGGACCCCACCUGACGCUGAGACGCGAAAGCCAGGGGAGCGAACGGG
RNAcentral lists this ribosomal RNA (253 nucleotides) under uncultured bacterium. RNAcentral describes it as "partial 16S ribosomal RNA". It matches the Rfam family "Bacterial small subunit ribosomal RNA", at positions 524 to 776 of the family's 1533-position model. The record is from RNAcentral.